AUUGAACGCUGGCGGCAGGCCUAACACAUGCAAGUCGAACGGUAACAGAAAGCAGCUUGCUGCUUUGCUGACGAGUGGCGGACGGGUAAGUAAUGUCUGGGAAACUGCCUGAUGGAGGGGGAUAACUACUGGAAACGGUAGCUAAUACCGCAUAACGUCGCAAGACCAAAGAGGGGGACCUUCGGGCCUCUUGCCAUCGGAUGUGCCCAGAUGGGAUUAGCUAGUAGGUGGGGUAAAGGCUCACCUAGGCGACGAUCCCUAGCUGGUCUGAGAGGAUGACCAGCCACACUGGAACUGAGACACGGUCCAGACUCCUACGGGAGGCAGCAGUGGGGAAUAUUGCACAAUGGGCGCAAGCCUGAUGCAGCCAUGCCGCGUGUAUGAAGAAGGCCUUCGGGUUGUAAAGUACUUUCAGCGGGGAGGAAGGGAGUAAAGUUAAUACCUUGGCUCAUUGACGUUACCCGCAGAAGAAGCACCGGCUAACUCCGUG
This 490-nucleotide ribosomal RNA is filed under the name uncultured bacterium. RNAcentral describes it as "partial 16S ribosomal RNA". It matches the Rfam family "Bacterial small subunit ribosomal RNA", at positions 30 to 507 of the family's 1533-position model. The record is from RNAcentral.